UUGUCUUUUUAACCAUUCCAUGAUUUGGACA
RNAcentral lists this non-coding RNA (31 nucleotides) under Rattus norvegicus (Norway rat). Lineage: Eukaryota; Metazoa; Chordata; Mammalia; Rodentia; Muridae. The record is from RNAcentral.